Molecule: non-coding RNA, 264 nt
Filed under: Paenibacillus sp.
Lineage: Bacteria; Bacillati; Bacillota; Bacilli; Caryophanales; Paenibacillaceae
Also listed under: 1 other name
Description: GlcN6P sequence
Rfam family: glmS glucosamine-6-phosphate activated ribozyme aptamer
About the family: This entry contains a glucosamine-6-phosphate activated ribozyme that is found in the mRNA for GlmS. GlmS is an enzyme that uses fructose-6-phosphate and glutamine to generate glucosamine-6-phosphate.
Source: RNAcentral
UUAGCAAGACAAGCGCCAGAACUGGCACGCGCGUUACAGACAUUAUUCGCUGAUGUGAAUCGGUCUCAAGCCAUCGACAGAGGGCUUCGCAUUACCACUCACAGACAACGCAUCAGUCGCUUAAUGCAUGGACACGCUCGUCCAGUUGACGAGGUGAAGGUGUUCGAAACAUUCGGCGGGGACCUUCCGGUCAUCAUCUAGACCGUAAGUCGAGCGUCAAAACGUCCGGGCGACCGGACGGACAAAGGCUCGGCAGGAUGGAAU